CAGAGGAGAUUUCCUCCUCAGGGAUUAUUGAGGGGGAUUUGAGACGAGGGGGAGGAGUUAUUGUCCUGUCCCGCGUCCUAGCUGUAAUCUAGUGUUUGGACUCUGAGUGGCUGCGUAGAGGCGUCAACACCACAACAGGUCUCUGUGUCACAAAGACAAACACACAAUGUAAAGUACGGGAUGACCAGGAUCCAGAGUGUCCCUCAGCAGAGCUCACACAUCCACACAUGAUUCUUCUGGUAGAAAAGAGAAGUGGUGUGCAUCCUGUUGACUAAUAACCAUAAAACAAACAAAUGGACCUUUGAGGAAAAAGUGCUGAUAUUAGAUAAGAUAUUCCUCUCUGUUAUAUUUACAUCCAAAGUGGGGAGAAGCUGAACCCUGAUCUCAAGAGACUCUCCUGCUUAAAUAAACCAAAGCAAACCAAUAUCAGAUUUAGAUUUGGGUUAAAUUCUGACACUGCUGCUGCAUCUCAUGUAUGAUCACAAUGUCUGAUUCCAUCUUCGUCUUGUGUGUUUCACAAACCAGCUUCCUCUGUCCUACCUCUCCUUCAGUGUCCUUGUGGAGAAACACAACACAGACAGGAAUGUUUGGCCGGGGUCAGUGUCUGUUUUGAGAGAUACCAGCCAAUGUCAGACUACGAGGGAGAAGGAGUAGGAGGAAGAGGAGGAGGAGGCAGAUACCAAGUGGCUCCCUCACCAUGAAACAACUGCUCCUCUGAGAAGAGAAGUCAGAGGUCACGUGAGGCAAGGACGACGUGGGCAAACAGGCAGCAAGAGGCCCACGUGUGAGGCUGUCAGGCCGGGUCUGCCUCCUCUGACUCCCCUCCCAAUAGAAAAGUGAUUGGUGUUAAACUUGUGUGCGGUACCUUCGGACCACCAGGGCCAGGGUCUUGUGGGAGCCCUUCACCAGGCAGAUGGCCUCCUGCCGGGAGCCGCUGAGGGGGACGGCGUUGACGCUCACCAUCUCGUCCCCGGCCAGGAGCCGGGCGGCUGCUGCCACGCUGCCCGGCUCCACCUGCACUCGCACCCAGAGACGUCAGGUGCAGUUA
This is a long non-coding RNA of Platichthys flesus (European flounder), 1048 nucleotides long. RefSeq lists it as uncharacterized. NCBI's taxonomy places the organism in Eukaryota, Metazoa, Chordata, Actinopteri, Pleuronectiformes, Pleuronectidae. The transcript is spliced from 3 exons. The record is from RefSeq and is a predicted model, not a curated record.